Molecule: ribosomal RNA, 581 nt
Filed under: Colletotrichum gloeosporioides
Lineage: Eukaryota; Fungi; Ascomycota; Sordariomycetes; Glomerellales; Glomerellaceae
Description: eukaryotic LSU rRNA
Rfam family: Eukaryotic large subunit ribosomal RNA
Source: RNAcentral
AUCAAUAAGCGGAGGAAAAGAAACCAACAGGGAUUGCCUCAGUAACGGCGAGUGAAGCGGCAACAGCUCAAAUUUGAAAUCUGGCCCUAGGCCCGAGUUGUAAUUUGCAGAGGAUGCUUUUGGUGCGGUGCCUUCCAAGUUCCCUAGAACGGGACGCCAGAGAGGGUGAGAGCCCCGUACAGUUGGACACCAAGCCUUUGUAAAGCUCCUUCGACGAGUCGAGUAGUUUGGGAAUGCUGCUCAAAAUGGGAGGUAUAUUUCUUCUAAAGCUAAAUACCGGCCAGAGACCGAUAGCGCACAAGUAGAGUGAUCGAAAGAUGAAAAGCACUUUGAAAAGAGGGUUAAACAGCACGUGAAAUUGUUAAAAGGGAAGCGCUUGUGACCAGACUUGCGUCCGGUGAAUCACCCAGCUCUCGCGGCUGGGGCACUUCGCCGGCUCAGGCCAGCAUCAGCUCGCUGUCGGGGACAAAAGCUUCAGGAACGUAGCUCUCUUCGGGGAGUGUUAUAGCCUGUUGCAUAAUACCCUUCGGCGGGCUGAGGUACGCGCUCCGCAAGGAUGCUGGCAUAAUGGUCAUCAGCGA